CUCAUGGGCAGCAGAGUACCCCAAGUGUCUUCAAGGCAAACGAACAACCUCAUGAAUUGGUGAGCAAUCAGUUCGUCAAGAGGGUUUAUUUUGUGCAAAAUAAGGAAGCAGAGAUUUUACCAGACGCCAAGAGGUGCCAGGCAUGCUUGCACUGUUACUGCAAGAGUGUGCACCAGACAAGGGUGCUCCUGUCCUGUCCUAAAAUGCUAUCCUUAUUCAACUGAAAAAGCUUCAGCAAUUGUCAGCUGAUUAAGACCAGCUCUGGGGUUCAGACAUUAAGCGGUUCCCUGACGUGUUCUUCUUUUGCUGUAUCGAUCACCUAAAAUCGCCCCCCACUGCGAGGAAGCGUGGGGAGUUCUGCUGAAGCAGCGGGUGGGCAAUGCGAGCAGGCCAGCCAGCGAGUCGUUCAUGUUGAGACGCGGACGCGUGCUACGGAGGCGGGGCUUUGCUGCAGAUGCGUUUCCCAGGCGGAACAGCUAAAGAAACAGUCCCGUCGACAAGGUGCUGACCUCUGAAAGGUGAGAGAGGCUGGGGGGGUUGGGUUCCCUGUGACGCAGGGGACUGAUCGGAACUUAAUACCGGGCAGUCAUCAGGUUUCUGCCUUCCUAGGGUGUCAUCAGCCUGGGACCGAAACUCCGCCAGUAUGAAGAAACCCCACCCUGAGUCUUCAUGCAAGAGCUUCUGUUUCUGUGGUUUAACCCUUGUUACUGGCAUGAACAGUUUCACUCUGAUUGGGUUUUUGCAUAAUUUUGCUGUGGGUCUUUAGUUUCUAUAAUGUGCAAUUAUAAGGGAAGGAACUGGAACAUCAAAAGGGAAACCCCAGCAUCAGGGAAACAGAGAAGGGAUCGCUGCGAGGCAGAAGAGGGCCUGGGAAACAGGGCGGUCAGCACAAUGUGUGUUUCUGUGCCUGUGCAUGUUGUGAGGAUGCCCAUGUAAACAUUGUACUAGAUCUCUGCUCCCUGUGUGCUUCCUGUGAGCCCUUUCUAUGUUUUGAAUGCAGGUUUUACCCUACAUUCAGACUGAUUAACCCCUCCCUGAUUUACGUGAAAGGGAUGCGAUGACACCAGGCAUUAUUAGAGAGCACUUACUAAGAGACUGAUGACUGUGUAAUCCUGAUGAGGACACUGGUGUGAGUCUGUGUCACCGGGUUGUGGUCAGUUCAGUGAGCUGAAACCUGACGCCACACAUGACGAAGCAAGUGGACACUGAGGUCUCACACGGCAGCUCCUCGUGCUUGAGCCCCUCUGACCAGACACAAGCAUCGUAUUUUGGUACCGUCCAGCCCGUGUGUCCAGACUGGACACCAUAACGUCAUGCAGGAGGAGCUCGGCUGCUGCUCAGGGGCAGAAUGAGGGGGUGUAGGUGUGGAAAUGUAACCCCCUUGAAACCUGGAUGCUGUAGAAUUCUCCUGAGAUGGACCAUGAGAAUAUAAGCAAGGUUACAAAGGGAAGGAGACUGUUUGCCCUAGCUAUGCCUUUCUUUUUGUAGUCGGUAGGAACUGAUGAUAGGAUUUCAACCAGCCAUUUUUUUUGGAGAAAAUUCAGAGUAUCGGCAUUUUGAGGGGGCUUGUUCAAUACUCCCACCACCCUUGGUGUAAACAGUGUCUCGUGUCUGCACCGCAGGAUGUACUGUGGGGUUGACGCUGGGAUUGUCACUGCAGGGGCACUGGAUUCUGACAACUUGUGGACCUUGUAAAAGAGAAAAAACGUGAGAAAUUCCUGCUAGAAAAAUGCUCUCAAGCCUCACUGAGAAAGAAUGUGGAGUCGCCUGGCAGGUUCCAGCCCUGGAAUCAGGACUUGCUUACACUGAGGGAGGGGGGUGGUGAUUUAUAUUCCAUGUAUGCGAUAAAUACACACACGCAGUGUGCCAGUAUAUGAACAUAAGAAAGCCCAAACACUGUGAAGCACUUGGCUCACCAUUUCCACCUCUGACAUUAGCUUCUCAGUUCAUUUGUCAUAUGCACAAGUGCUAUAUGCAAAUGAUUGAUGUUGGAGACAAAUCUAGAAAAACAUCCAAUGAAAAUAACUUCCGCAGUAAAGCUGAGGUCUUUGCAUUCUUUAGACAUUAAGCUUUUUAUAUAUAUCUGCCAAAGGACUCCCAGGUCACAUCCUAGUCAGAAAGCAGCUGCAUGAAGUGAGAUUUGCAGCUGUAAAGCAUGCAGCACGACCGUAAAUUUCAGAUUCUGCACUGUCCACACCGGGCAAAUUAAUUCACUAAAGGCUGCACAUGAAUCAAGGACACAAAAAAACAACAACAUUGUGGCAUGUAUCCAAGUUAAAUAAUAAUCAUCAAUAUCAUCAUAACAGCUGUAGCCAGUCAGGGAAUACAGCACAUGUACGAAUGAAAAGCUUCAGAGAAACCUGACAGGCAGGGAGCUCUAGAGGCAGAAGGCUCAGAAAAGCCAUUCAGGCUGUAUGUGUUUUCCCUGUGCUCAUGUGGGUUUGCAUCUGGGGGCUCUGGUUGUCUCCCACAGCCCAAUGACAUACAGGUAGGUUAACUGGCUUCUGUGAAAACUGGCCCUGGUGUGAGUGAGUGUGUGGUUUACUGGGAUGGACUGGUGUAUCCUGCCUUGACCAGGGGUAAGCUCCAGCCGCCCCCAACUGUGAUCCGGUAUUGGAUAAGGGGGUUAGAAAAUAGUUGGAUGGACAGUCUUACACAUGGAGCAGCAGGUGCUGAGCACAGCCUUAGGCACUUUGCUAAAUGUUUUGAGACUGAGCAGUGAUACCCUAAUGAGACUGAGCAGUGAUACCCUAACUGCCUUUUAAGAAAUGGGUGCUCAGGGGGAAAACAAAGACUCCAGACAUUAGAGCGCAUUUCUUUUAGAAUAUGUUGUAUGAGCACACAGAGACACGUUAAUGGAUGUCCAAACACGUCGUAACGACAAGUCAGUUAUGAAUGAACAGCGCCCAGCAAAAUCCAGCAUCCGGUACACAGGCCGGGCACGCACAAACGCGUUCGCUCUCACGGCACAAAUCUAAGAACAGACUCGUUGAUCCUCUGGUUGUAUUUGUAUUUGUAAAUUUUCAUACAUUUAAUAAAAAUUAUGGCCCUCGGGGAAUCAGACUGGUAGGCGAUCGAAACUUUGGCAAGGACGAAAAACCGCCGCAAAAGCAGCAGAGAGAAUAGGCGUGAAGAUGUCGCAUUGAAAGUAAAGCAACGUUUCAAUAGGCAUCGCUCUUUGUUCCAGCAGGGCACGGACGAGAGGUAGCAGCCGUGCUGGAGACGAAAGCGCGCAGUCGGGGAACAAGAGAGGCGCGGAAGGGCCGCUAUAAUCAUGACCUCCGUUCGCACAGGGAAUAUGAGCGCCUUCUAUCUGGGCGUCGAUUUAGACUAAACAGAUUCGAGUGCAAGGCAACUCAGUUAUCUUUUAUUCCCAGAGCUAUUAACCUGCUUCAUUCAAACAAUCGAUGGCAUAUUUUACUUUAUUUUUUGUUUUUAAUCUCAUUCUUUUUCUCAUCUUUCCCUCUUUCUCUUACUUGUGAAUUUAU
Lepisosteus oculatus (spotted gar) is the source of this 3488-nucleotide long non-coding RNA. RefSeq lists it as uncharacterized. The record is from RefSeq and is a predicted model, not a curated record. Lineage: Eukaryota; Metazoa; Chordata; Actinopteri; Semionotiformes; Lepisosteidae.